UGGGGAAUAUUGGUCAAUGGGCGGAAGCCUGAACCAGCCAUCCCGCGUGAAGGAAGAAGGCCUUAUGGGUUGUAAACUUCUUUUCUGUUUGAAGAAUAAGCUUGUCGUGACAAGUGAUGCCGGUAGGACAGGAAUAAGCAUCGGCUAACUCCGUGCCAGCAGCCGCGGUAAUACGGAGGAUGCAAGCGUUAUCCGGAUUUAUUGGGUUUAAAGGGUGCGCAGGUGGUUUAAUAAGUCAGUGGUGAAAGUCUGCCGCUUAACGGUAGGAUUGCCAUUGAUACUGUUGGACUUGAAUAUGGAUUAGGUAGGCGGAAUGUGUAGUGUAGCGGUGAAAUGCUUAGAUAUUACACAGAACACCGAUUGCGAAGGCAGCUUACUAAUCCAUGAUUGUCGCUGAGGCACGAAAGCGUGGGGAUCAAACAG
This 423-nucleotide ribosomal RNA is filed under the name uncultured bacterium. Its description in RNAcentral is "bacterial SSU rRNA". It matches the Rfam family "Bacterial small subunit ribosomal RNA", at positions 355 to 775 of the family's 1533-position model. The record is from RNAcentral.